This is a long non-coding RNA of Leopardus geoffroyi (Geoffroy's cat), 161 nucleotides long. RefSeq lists it as uncharacterized. The transcript has 3 exons. Lineage: Eukaryota; Metazoa; Chordata; Mammalia; Carnivora; Felidae. The record is from RefSeq and is a predicted model, not a curated record.
UGGAGGUGUUGGAGGUGUGUAGGUGAUGGAGGUGUUGGGGUGGGGAAAUGGAGGUGUUGGAGAUGUUGGAGGUGUGGAGGUGAUGGAGGUGUGGAGGUGGAGGGGAUGGAGGUGUUGGUGGUGGAGGAGAUGGAGGUGUUGGGGAUGUUGGAGGUGUGGAG